RNAcentral lists this ribosomal RNA (460 nucleotides) under uncultured bacterium. RNAcentral describes it as "partial 16S ribosomal RNA". It matches the Rfam family "Bacterial small subunit ribosomal RNA", at positions 338 to 795 of the family's 1533-position model. The record is from RNAcentral.
CCUACGGGAGGCAGCAGUGAGGAAUAUUGGUCAAUGGACGAGAGUCUGAACCAGCCAAGUAGCGUGAAGAAUGACUGCCCUAUGGGUUGUAAACUUCUUUUAUAUGGGAAUAAAAUGUUCCACGUGUGGGAUUUUGUAUGUACCAUAUGAAUAAGGAUCGGCUAACUCCGUGCCAGCAGCCGCGGUAAUACGGAGGAUCCGAGCGUUAUCCGGAUUUAUUGGGUGUAAAGGGAGCGUAGGUGGAUUGUUAAGUCAGUUGUGAAAGUUUGCGGCUCAACCGUAAAAUUGCAGUUGAAACUGGCAGUCUUGAGUACAGUAGAGGUGGGCGGAAUUCGUGGUGUAGCGGUGAAAUGCUUAGAUAUCACGAAGAACUCCGAUUGCGAAGGCAGUUCACUGGACUGCAACUGACACUGAGGCGCGAAAGUGUGGGUAUCAAACAGGAUUAGAUACCCUAGUAGUC